GUCGUUACCUAAUUGAUGAUUCCUCCGUCAAACCUUUCACAUGAUUCAGGUUAUUAUCGAUCUAAAUUGGAAUUAUUAUUUAACUUGGAUCAAGUUGCUUACGUUGUCGAGUAUGGGUCAUUAUAAAGUUUUAGUUUUUGGUCAAGUUUAUAUCCGUUAUAUUUGUGGCCAGACUCAGUUUUGUUGCAACGUUAUGAGUGUUAUAAAGAUGCUAUUCUGAAUUGUAGUUGAACAUCCAAUAGUUACAAAGUUAAAGACUUCACAUUUUUCUGGUGAAUGUUUAUUUUUGCAGGAAAUCAAUUUUUUUUUAUGGUGUAUUGUUACAUGAAAGUGUGAGUAUGCUAUUAUGAUUUAUUACUCUGUUUUCAUACUCCCAUAAUAUAUGUGCUAAUAUGUAUGUUUGUGUUUUCAUUCUUGAUAUUUGUCUUAUGGAGAAGCCAAUAGAGCUGCAAGAAAGUAUACAAUAUUGUUCCAACCUACUUGUGCUGCUUUGCUUA
RNAcentral lists this long non-coding RNA (497 nucleotides) under Brassica napus (rape). RNAcentral's name for it is "long non-coding RNA (BNAP_LNC020381)". Lineage: Eukaryota; Viridiplantae; Streptophyta; Magnoliopsida; Brassicales; Brassicaceae. The record is from RNAcentral.